RNAcentral lists this ribosomal RNA (442 nucleotides) under uncultured bacterium. RNAcentral's name for it is "partial 16S ribosomal RNA". It matches the Rfam family "Bacterial small subunit ribosomal RNA", at positions 355 to 789 of the family's 1533-position model. The record is from RNAcentral.
UAGGGAAUCUUCCACAAUGGACGCAAGUCUGAUGGAGCAACGCCGCGUGAGUGAAGAAGGCUUUCGGGUCGUAAAACUCUGUUAUUGAAGAAGAACGUGUGUGACAGUAACUGGUCAUGCAGUGACGGUAUUCAAUCAGAAAGUCACGGCUAACUACGUGCCAGCAGCCGCGGUAAUACGUAGGUGGCAAGCGUUGUCCGGAUUUAUUGGGCGUAAAGCGAGUGCAGGCGGCCUUUUAAGUCUGAUGUGAAAGCCUUCGGCUUAACCGAAGAAGGGCAUCGGAAACUGGGAGACUUGAGUGCAGAAGAGGAGAGUGGAACUCCAUGUGUAGCGGUGAAAUGCGUAGAUAUAUGGAAGAACACCAGUGGCGAAGGCGGCUCUCUGGUCUGUAACUGACGCUGAGGCUCGAAAGCGUGGGUAGCAAACAGGAUUAGAUACCCUG